AUGCUCGAGAUGGCUGCGGCGAGUGACAGAGACCCUUUUGGAGACCUCCCUGACGAGCUCCUAUCGCGCGUGCUGUCCUUCCUUCCGGCAGAGGAUGCCCUGCAGACCUGUGUGCUCGACACCCGGUGGCGCGACCUCUGGAGGCGCUUCACCAGCUUGCUGUUCAUCUUUGAUGGGCCAACGUUUCCGCGAUACAACCGUUUCAAACAGUUGGUGAAGCUGUUCAUCUGUCUCCGCGGCAACUCGCCUCUCGUCAGGUGUGAGAUCGAUGCCUACCCUGAUGAUGGGCCGGAGAACACGUUCACAAACACCAGGCUGUUGAUUGAUUACGCUCUGGCGUGCGAAGCUGAGGAACUCAUAGUAAGAGCAGCUGACAUUCAGUACGACCUACCAGUGUUCGAUGUGCCCCUUAGUCUCAUCUCCCAACACUUGAAGACCCUGCACCUUGAAGGGGUCAACCUCGACCACUCUGCUUUGAACUUCUCAGGCUGCCUGGUGCUAGAGGACCUAAGGAUUCAACUUUGCAACAUUCGUGCAUGUGAGAUAUCAUCCAUGUCACUAAAGCGCCUGUGCAUCACCGAGUACUGUUUGUUACCGGACAAUGUCCGUCUUCUGAUUUGUGCCCCGAGUCUUAUCUCGUUGCAUCUAGAGGAUUUCGAAGGGUUGACACCUUUCCUCGAAAACAUGCCAUUGCUAGAAACAGCCCAUGUUAGCCUCAAAGAUGGAUGCCAUGAUUUCUGUCACAAGAACAGGCGUAAUUGUGAUGAUCCUUGCUGUGGUUGUCAUGCCUAG
Molecule: ribosomal RNA, 792 nt
Filed under: Triticum aestivum (bread wheat)
Lineage: Eukaryota; Viridiplantae; Streptophyta; Magnoliopsida; Poales; Poaceae
Description: partial small subunit ribosomal RNA
Source: RNAcentral